This 533-nucleotide ribosomal RNA is filed under the name uncultured bacterium. RNAcentral's name for it is "bacterial SSU rRNA". It matches the Rfam family "Bacterial small subunit ribosomal RNA", at positions 777 to 1301 of the family's 1533-position model. The record is from RNAcentral.
AAUAGAUACCCAGGUAGUCCUAGCCGUAAACGAUGAGCACUGGGUUGAAGGGUCCUCCAGUAGCCGUUUCAGCCGUAGCGAAAGUGUUAAGUGCUCCGCCUGGGGAGUAUGGUCGCAAGGCUGAAACUCAAAGAAAUUGACGGGGGCUCACACAAGCGGUGGAGGAUGUGGCUUAAUUCGAGGCUACGCGAAGAACCUUAUCCUAGUCUUGACAUGCACGGAUUAACCCCUGGAAACAGGGGCCACGCCUUCGGGUGGAACGUGCACAGGUGCUGCAUGGCUGUCGUCAGCUCGUGCUGUGAAGUGUCGGGUUAAGUCCCUUAACGAGCGAAACCCUUGUCGCUAGUUGCCAGCGAGUCAUGUCGGGGACUCUAGCGAGACCGCCGGUGUUAAACCGGAGGAAGGUGGGGAUGACGUCAAGUCCUCAUGGCCUUUAUGACUAGGGCUGCACACGUCCUACAAUGGCAUGCACAAAGGGACGCAAAGUCGCGAGACCAAGCAAAUCCCAAAAAACAUGCCCCAGUUCGGAUUGC